Molecule: RNA transcript, 770 nt
Organism: Stomoxys calcitrans (stable fly)
Lineage: Eukaryota; Metazoa; Arthropoda; Insecta; Diptera; Muscidae
Exons: 2
Source: RefSeq, a predicted model, not a curated record
GCUCCCGAAGUUAGAGAACAUCUUGCUGAAAACCGACAUGACCAAGGUCAACGUACUGAACUAAAUUCUCGACGAGUUGCCGAAAAAGAAAUUCGGGAACAACGAGAGGAAAACAGGCUCAAGGAAAGAAGCCGAAAUCAACAAGACUCCCGACGAAUUAUUGAUGCGCCAGAAACUCGUGAUGAAAACCGACGAGAACGAGAAAAUACUUUCAAUACACGACGGGAAUCGCUACAAAAUAAAAGCAAUCGUCGCAACAUUGAAGAAGAGCACCAAGAAACGCCAAGCCUAUUGCUAAAGAAAGGAUAUUUAAUUAUAGGCCAAGGUUUUAUUUUGGCCUUUGUUAUUGCUCAAUCAUUAAAUGGCAAAAGGGAAUUCCAAUACCAAAACAUACCUCAGAAAUUGCGCCAAGCUGUUGGCUUGGUUGGAUUUUAAGCACCUCCAUGACUUGACCCGAGCAUACGAACCUCAGAUGACAAUUGGCAAUGUAUUAAGCACUACUGUACAUAGUUACUUUUGUUGUUUAUAUUAGUGAUGAAGUUAUAGAAAGGAAAAUGUGUACCUAAAAGCAAAAUUGAUAUAGUCAUAUACAUACAUAACGAUACUAUAUAGUUAACCCAUGUUACUUAAUGUAUAAUUUAAACAUAAAUAUAAAUAUAUAGUUGUGAGCAACGAGUUUAACUGAUGCAGCAGGUAUACAAUUAUUAUGUGUUAAUUUAAAACUAACGAAAAAUAUUUUAUGAAAAUAAAUAAUCCGAUAUGCAAUGUUA